AGGAUGGCACAGUGGGUAGAAGUAUGUGACAACCCAAAGUCAAUGCUUCCACCUGAAAACUGAAAUUCCGGGUGAUCUGUAGUAGCUACUUUAAAGAAAAAUACUUCAUGAGGAAAAGAUUAACAACAUCAGCAGUUCCAACACUGAACUUACUUGUGUCAGAGGCUACCUCUAUUAAAACAGAGCAAUAAGACACCUGGAUGCAAAUGAAAAGAAGAAAAAGAAGAAAAUUUUAAACCUGACUGCACCAGGGGAGUGGAGAACGUGAUUUUCGAUUGUAUAUUAUUAUUGCUAUAUAUAUAUAU
Molecule: long non-coding RNA, 305 nt
Organism: Osmia bicornis bicornis
Lineage: Eukaryota; Metazoa; Arthropoda; Insecta; Hymenoptera; Megachilidae
Exons: 3
Source: RefSeq, a predicted model, not a curated record